GGGAGGGUGGGAAGAGAUCAACUAAUGAACUUAUAUGCAUAUAAGCAUAACCCUUGGAUACAGACAAUGGAGUGGUUAGGGCCUGGGGCACAUGGCUGGGAGACGUGAAUGGGGG
Myotis brandtii (Brandt's bat) is the source of this 115-nucleotide long non-coding RNA. RefSeq lists it as uncharacterized. The record is from RefSeq and is a predicted model, not a curated record. The transcript is spliced from 4 exons. NCBI's taxonomy places the organism in Eukaryota, Metazoa, Chordata, Mammalia, Chiroptera, Vespertilionidae.